GGAGAGAGUUCUCAGGACUAUGAUGGCUGCUUUGAUUUAAGAAGACAAUACCAUUUCCAGACAUCUCUUUCCUGGGGCUAACUAUAUUAGUAUUCUGCCCUGAUGGGAAGGAAGAAACUUCAUGGGCAGUAAAUAGCCAAUUUAGAAGCAGGAGAAAUAUGAGAGAUAAAGAAUUAACAUUUUACAGAUGAAAUAAGAUGAGGCCCGAGAUUCAUUUGAAAUAAUCCAGGUAAUUGUGGAAAUGGAUAGGGGUGCAGAUGAAGCAAGAUUGUCCAUGUGUUGAUAAUUGUUUAAGAAGGAAAUUGGUAUAUGGAGGCUUAUUAUGCUAUUCUCUAUAUUUUUGAAUGUGCUAAAUAAUCUACAAUGAAGUGUUUUUGAAAAAGAUAUUGAAUAGCUAAUAGAGUAUUAGAAGGGCCAGAAAACAAAAGCAUAAGACCCAGCUUCUAGCAAUAAUGCAAAAUUAAGUCUCAGAAACACUUUCGUAAGGAAAACGCUGUAGCCACCACUAACCAUCAUUGGAGUCAUCUGCUCUUAUAGCAGAGCGAGAGACAGAGAAAGAGCCACUGCCAGAGAGCACAAGCAUACUCUCCACUCAUUCCCUCUCAGGAACUUUUGAGGAAAAAUCUGCGGCAGAUGCCUGUGGUUAUCAGAGCCUUUGCCAUAGCUUCAAGGGAGUCUGGGAAAGAGGGGAAAGUAAUCAUCUAGUAUUAUCUGUUCCAAUUACAAGGUUUCCUGUCCCAUCCCCACUGCAAAGAAUCAAAAUGAGAGCAAUUCCAAAAAUACAGAAAAUAAUUCAGAAAUCAAAAAGCAAAAUUGAAUGAACAAUAUUUACCUCCCUGGGCAAGUAGGAACCUCCCUGAGUUUCAGUUUCCUCAUCUGGCAAAUGAUUAAACAAUACCAUUCUCCCAAGAUUGCUUUGAGGACUGAAAGCAAUAAUGUGUCUAUUAAACAGCACAAUACAAAAGGUCCCUCAGCAAUCUUUCCUUCCUCCCUGUUUUUCUCCCCUCUUCCCUUCCUUUCCAUUUAAUUUCCUAUCUCACUUCAGUUUCUAUGUUCUUUGUGUUUUCAGGAUAAUAUUCUAUUUACUUAAGGGACACAAAGUAAAUAAAUGUUUUUGAAACUGAAUUGGAUUGAAGUGGAUCCAGAUUUUCACAGGAAAAAAAAGUUUCCUUUUCCCUUAGUUCUCCUUACACACCUGGCUUUGCAGGAAAAGAAAUUAUCAUUUGGAAACACACAUCUGCCUCAGCCACAGGUAGAAAAGGCUUGGACUACAUGUUUGGUUUGAAGUUUGAAAAUCUCAGUCCUUCCCCAACCAUCAAAAAUAUUUACCUCCCUCCCUUGUCUCACAAUCAUCUAAGCUGCCUUCUUGAAUUGACUCCCACACCUGUUCAUCAUAGAAGGAAAAAAAUAAAAGCAAAUGCCAUAUAAAAUCUCUCUUCUUCAACAAGGUCUUCUGUUUUGAAAUAUUGAAACAGUUCCUGUUCUAUUACCUCACCAGCUGUGGCCUUUUAUCUCCUAAAGGGAAUAGCUGACGUCUUACCAGUCAAAGUCAUUGUGCUUACGGACGCCAUAAAUAUCUCCUUUAAAUCCUACAUGAUAAAUUUCCCUCUGAUUGGUAAAGCAGAUACUGUAACAUGCAAAGGGGGAGCAGGAGAGUCUUUGAUGAUGUUAAACUAAGCCCCUGGAGAUAUCCCAGCUCUUCCUCCAGAAUUUUACUUUCCAACAACUGGAGUCAACAAAUACGGUAGAAAAUGUUGUCUGGAUUAUCUACUCCCAUUAUUUUUUUUUAAACUGGUUUUCAAUGAUGGGCAACCUAAAAUUUACUCACACAGAACACAAAACAGUUGAAUUUGUUAAAAGUCCAAAAUGUGCUUUUGUACUUUUGUAAAAUGGGAAUGUGCUUCUUGUACAAAUCACAAUAUGCUUUCUAGACCACAACCUAAAAAGGAAAGAAAAAAAUCCUGUGAAUAAAAAAAAAAAACAAGGACUUUCAGUUUUCUACAUGCAUUUGAAAUGACUUUAUCUCUGACUCAUGUUCUACUUUAUUUUUGAUUGGGAAGACCUGUUCCUAUACUGUAAUUUUUUUUUAAUAAUAAGUUUCCAUUUGUAACUAUUAGUUGGUCUUUCCACAAAAUUGGUUUGCUGGAAAGGACUGAGAAGAGAAAGAGCAUUCCUGGAUCAAUGGAACUGAUGAGUGUGGAAGUCCUUGAACUUGACCAAGCAUUGUCAAUUCUCAUAGUCUGACCAAAAAAAAACUAGAUUAUUUUGUGUGUUUUUCUUGGUGCUCCUAAUGUAAGUUUAUUCAAAUUGGGGGGGGGGCGGUGGGGGGAACAAACAAGUAGACUGCAGUUGUAAGAGAAAAAAGGUGAAAAUAAAUUAUUUUGGUGUUUUUUAUUACUUGGAACUUUAUUUAUUGUAGGAUAUAGAUUUAAGAUAAUUUUUUGUUUGUUUGUUUAUUUUAUUUUUAUUUAUUUAUUUGUUG
Molecule: long non-coding RNA, 2482 nt
Filed under: Homo sapiens (human)
Lineage: Eukaryota; Metazoa; Chordata; Mammalia; Primates; Hominidae
Description: HSALNT0022126
Source: RNAcentral